This 254-nucleotide ribosomal RNA is filed under the name uncultured bacterium. RNAcentral describes it as "partial 16S ribosomal RNA". It matches the Rfam family "Bacterial small subunit ribosomal RNA", at positions 524 to 776 of the family's 1533-position model. The record is from RNAcentral.
CACGUAGGGGGCGAGCGUUGUCCGGAUUUAUUGGGCGUAAAGAGCUCGUAGGCGGUUCGGCAAGUCGGGUGUGAAAUUUCGAGGCUCAACCUCGAAACGCCACUCGAUACUGCUGUGACUGGAGUCCGGUAGAGGAGUGCGGAAUUCCUGGUGUAGCGGUGAAAUGCGCAGAUAUCAGGAGGAACACCAACGGCGAAGGCAGCACUCUGGGCCGGUACUGACGCUGAGGAGCGAAAGCUAGGGGAGCAAACGGG